CACGUAGGGCGCGAGCGUUGUCCGGAAUUAUUGGGCGUAAAGAGCUCGUAGGCGGCCUGUUGCGUCCGCUGUGAAAGCCCGGGGCUUAACCCCGGGUCGGCAGUGGAUACGGGCAGGCUAGAGGUAGGUAGGGGAGAAUGGAAUUCCCGGUGUAGCGGUGAAAUGCGCAGAUAUCGGGAGGAACACCGGUGGCGAAGGCGACUCACUGGACACAUAUUGACGCUGAGGUGCGAAAGCGUGGGGAGCAAACAGG
This 253-nucleotide ribosomal RNA is filed under the name uncultured bacterium. RNAcentral describes it as "partial 16S ribosomal RNA". It matches the Rfam family "Bacterial small subunit ribosomal RNA", at positions 524 to 776 of the family's 1533-position model. The record is from RNAcentral.